UACGGGGGGGGCAAGCGUUGUUCGGAAUUACUGGGCGUAAAGGGCUCGUAGGUGGCCAACUAAGUCAGACGUGAAAUCCCUCGGCUUAACCGGGGAACUGCGUCUGAUACUGGAUGGCUUGAGUUCGGGAGAGGGAUGCGGAAUUCCAGGUGUAGCGGUGAAAUGCGUAGAUAUCUGGAGGAAUACCGGUGGCGAAGGCGGCAUCCUGGACCGAUAUUGACGCUGAGGAGCGAAAGCUAGGGGAGCAAACGGG
This 253-nucleotide ribosomal RNA is filed under the name uncultured bacterium. Its description in RNAcentral is "partial 16S ribosomal RNA". It matches the Rfam family "Bacterial small subunit ribosomal RNA", at positions 524 to 776 of the family's 1533-position model. The record is from RNAcentral.